Molecule: ribosomal RNA, 253 nt
Filed under: uncultured bacterium
Lineage: Bacteria
Description: partial 16S ribosomal RNA
Rfam family: Bacterial small subunit ribosomal RNA
Source: RNAcentral
UACAGAGGGGGCAAGCGUUGUUCGGAAUUACUGGGCGUAAAGGGCGCGUAGGCGGCCUGUUAAGUCGAACGUGAAAUCCCCGGGCUCAACCCGGGAACUGCGUCCGAUACUGGCAGGCUUGAAUCCGGGAGAGGGAUGCGGAAUUCCAGGUGUAGCGGUGAAAUGCGUAGAUAUCAGGAGGAACACCAGUGGCGAAGGCGGUGGUCUGGGCCGGAACUGACGCUGUAGAGCGAAAGCGUGGGGAGCGAACAGG